AUGCUUGUUUGGGCAGCAUGUAUACUAAAACUGGACCUCUGCACAGAAGAUUAGUAUGUCACCUGUGCAAGAAAGAAUUGAAAAUUCUUGAACAGUUCCAUGUUUUU
Molecule: small nuclear RNA, 107 nt
Organism: Cricetulus griseus (Chinese hamster)
Lineage: Eukaryota; Metazoa; Chordata; Mammalia; Rodentia; Cricetidae
Source: Ensembl